This is a long non-coding RNA of Cyanistes caeruleus (blue tit), 3452 nucleotides long. RefSeq lists it as uncharacterized. Lineage: Eukaryota; Metazoa; Chordata; Aves; Passeriformes; Paridae. The record is from RefSeq and is a predicted model, not a curated record.
UGGCGCGGGGUCCCCCCUCACGGCCCCCGCGGCCCCGGAACGCCCGCGCCGCCGUGUUACCGUCAGACGGUGUGUGAAAGACAUUCCGGGGCGGUGUGACCGCGGGUUUUAACCUCGGGACCGGACCGCGAGCUUUGUCAGAGCCGGGGGCUCCGAGCCGAACCCGAGGCGGCCCCGCCGCGGGCGCCCCGACCCCGCUCCUGUGCCCGGCGCUGCUCCGGCGCCUCCCGGGCGCUGGGUUUUUAAACGCCAAAAUUCUCAAAAAUCGCCGCAAAAGUACAGUAGUUUUUUUGGUCUGCAUUGACGCGACAGGAAUAAACUCCGUGCUUUUCUUGUGGGCAUUUUAGGAGAUUUUUUGCAAUUUUUUCACAUCGCUGAAUUUAUAGAAUUUUUUGUUUGUUUAAAGAAGAAAAUUUGCAAAGUAUUCUGCUUUGUAUUAUGAGAACAAGAACAUUUAGUGAGAAUAAUAUUUAAUGAGAACAAGAACGUUUAGCAAUAGUAAGAACAUUUAACAAUAACAAAAACAUUUAUUAUGACUGGGUUAAAAAAUGAAUAGCCAUUUAUUCACAUAUAGCUAAAGCCAUUGCCUGGCUUUUUAGCUCUAUGUGAUACUCAAUAACGUUCUGAUUAAUUCCACACUGAAAAAAUAAAACUGGACGAAAACAUCCCAACGUGAAAUCAUUGCAAAUCUGAGCUGUGGAGCCCGGAGUGAGUGGUUCUCUGUGAAUUAUGGUGCUUUAUGUCCAAGGGUUUCUUUGCUACCGGGGAUCCACUUCAGUUCCUGCUGACAGCUAAGCACUAGGGUAUUGACUGUGUUGUGAAUAUUAAGAUUGAUUCUGCUUUAUGUUGCAUUAUAUUACCCGGGAUAAGGGGAAUGAUCCCUCUCCCUUCCCACCUACCUACAUUCCACCUCGGUCGGCUCAUAACCCCUUUCCUUUGGCUUGUGUUUGUUUCCUGCCUUUCCCUAAACUUCUUUGCCUGUCCUGCUCUGGAGCCAGAAAACAAACUGCCCUCGGUGUUCAGACAUUUGCAGGAGGCUCAUUUCAAUUAAGGAGGCAGGCUUAGGUCCCGCGGUCACUUUAUUUGCAGAGGGCUUAGCCUCAGUGUUUUGAAAGGCAAGUAUAGUCCGCCACAUGUCAGAGGUGAGCUGCGAAGAAAACCCGAGUCCUUUCAGCAGUGGGGCUAUUGGCACAGGGUGUCAGUGAGGCUGCCGUUGGCUCACAGGCAAGGGGGAACCUGACAAGACACUCUGUGGUCUGAAACCUUUCGGGGUGUUUCAGUGAUAACUUGUAAGCUGGGAUCCUGAAUUUGUGCUGCAAGAAGUCGAACAAGUUUUCAAGUUAUCUCUCUUUUGUGAGAUCGCUGAGAACCAACAAAGAAUGAAGGCGUCUGCCUGCCCAAAGACGAGCUCCUGCCAACCCCGCAGCACGGGAGGGACAGCAUUAAUGCUCCGGGUGAUUGAUGGAGAUGGAUCCACACAUCCACCAAAAACUCUUCCCGGAAGGGGACCUUCACUCAGGGUCUCCCAGUUGAGGAUUUAACACAUUUAUCAAGCUCCGUUCCCGUAGCUUUCAAUGGAAAAGUUGUAUGAUAUGGAUAUUAUGCUGUCUUUUUUCAAUUUAAACAUUGAUUUGUGUGAAACAUUAAUAUAAUGAUAUUUGCAGUCUACCGUAGACAAAUAUAAGCAGAAUUAGACACUCUAAAUUGUUACAAAUGCAACGCAAUAUUUAAAUCUGAAUGAAGGCUGUAUUAAUAAUUACGGAGCGGAGCGCGUGGCAGUCCGGUCGGGAUCUGUCCUCAGAUUUUCGGCUGUUUUUCAAUUCCUUGCACACGGUGCACAUGAUGGCUCGAUGAAUAUUUUUAUGAACAGCAGGAAGGAAUGUGAAUCCGUGCGCGAGCGAGCCCAAAGCAGCGGAGCCCCGAGCGGAGCUGCGCGCCCGCGCCGCGCUGGAAUUAGCCCGAGCUGUCGGAGCGCCGCGAUUGACACCCCGAGAAGAAUGCUUUGUUUGUUUGCUCAGCAGUCAUGUUUAAUGCUCUUCGCUUAUCAAGGUGAUCAGCAUGGUUCAGAUAACACAUGCCUGACACCGCCUGCCUUUUCUCACCAGCGUGUUGACCUUUUGUCACGUUUGCUUUUCUCUGGUAGGCAAUUCCUGGCUUUAAGUGUGAAUGGAGUAAAUAAUUCACAUCAAUAUUUAAUAUAAAUUAUUAAAGUUUCUGUCAGCUCUUACAGUUCAUGCUUUUAUAGAGUUGGAGUAGUUCAUCAGCCAAACAGAUGAAUUGUGCAGCUCAGCUGGACAUUAGAGCUCCUCCACCGUGCUGCCGGGACUGGGGAGGAAGCAGGGAAUUAAAUAGCAAAGGUAAUGCAGCCUGGCCCUUCAACGCUGUGUGUUUUUCAGCAACGCACAUUCUCUAGAAAGGCUCGAAGUACUAGAUAAAUAUCCAGCAUAAUUUAUUUUAUUAGUCCUGUACUUUUUUUUUUCCCUCUUCAUGUUGCAAACAGAAAUGCAGAAAACCCCAGUGACCCCCGGCAUUGUCUUCUACUCUUUGUUAAUGGCCUUCCUUUGGUGUUCCAGGCCCUUCCUGGGCUUAGGGUGGGAGUAUUGGUGCUGGGAGGUAGGGUUUGGGUGCUUGGGGUUUUCUUUCCCCUCAGUGUUCUUUUUCUAUUUUUAAAGACUGGUGUGGAGCCCUAAGGUGAUGAAGUUUCAGAUGUUUUUGGACCUUGUUUAUAAAUUGCAAUUUAUAUUUUGCAAAGUGACCUGUGAUUGAAUGUAGAUACUGAAAACAUUUUUUUAAAGGAGAAAAACUCUGAUCUCUGAUUGUAACAGCUCAAAUGUGUAUUUUGCAUCAGGAAUUUAAUAAAAAUAGCAUGUUUUGCAUAAAAGCAUAUAGUAAAAAUCGUUAUGCGCCUACUUUAAUUUUAUGCUCCUUUAGGUGUUUCAGUUCUUUUGUUAAGGAUCAGUUCAAUGCGUGUUGCACAGUCACAGGGACUGUAAUAAUGUGAAUCACUGAAUAUCCCAUGUAAUACAAAUCCAUCACCUGGAAGGGAGGUGGGUUUGUAUCCUGUGUUUACAGGUCAAACCCUUUUGCUAUACUUCAGUCAUGCAUCAACAUUUAAAGCUAAUCUCUCAUUCCUCAUUGUCCAGCAGGUGGCUUUGUCAUAGAUUAUUUAAUUUUUAAUCAUUUAUUGUAAGUGGAAAAGGUUAUUUAAUAAUAUUAUCCUGACAGCAUUUUUUUAAAAGAGCUACAGUUUUCCAGUAUGUCCUGUGGUGUAUGACAGGGUCAAUGGAAGCAUCUAGAGAGCUUCAAAUACACAAUCUAAAUUAAGAUUCUAAACAGGCAUUACAGAUGCUGGUAACUUUGGCAAUUAUCAUUUUGUUUGGUGAACAGUAGUAAAACAGUGUGCGGUAAAAGUGUUUAGAGAGAGAGGAUAAAUAAAUUGAACAGUUUUGCAA